UGGGGAAUAUUGGACAAUGGGCGCAAGCCUGAUCCAGCCAUGCCGCGUGAGUGAUGAAGGCCUUAGGGUUGUAAAGCUCUUUUGUCAGGGAAGAUAAUGACGGUACCUGAAGAAUAAGCACCGGCUAACUUCGUGCCAGCAGCCGCGGUAAUACGAAGGGUGCUAGCGUUGUUCGGAAUCACUGGGCGUAAAGCGCGCGUAGGUGGCUUGACAAGUCAGAGGUGAAAGCCUGGAGCUCAACUCCAGAAUUGCCUUUGAAACUGUCUCGCUAGAGUGUCGGAGGGGAUAGCGGAAUUGCUAAUGUAGAGGUGAAAUUCGUAGAUAUUAGCAGGAACACCGGUGGCGAAGGCGGCUAUCUGGACGACAACUGACACUGAGGCGCGAAAGCGUGGGGAUCAAA
Molecule: ribosomal RNA, 400 nt
Filed under: uncultured bacterium
Lineage: Bacteria
Description: bacterial SSU rRNA
Rfam family: Bacterial small subunit ribosomal RNA
Source: RNAcentral